RNAcentral lists this long non-coding RNA (1790 nucleotides) under Leptinotarsa decemlineata (Colorado potato beetle). RNAcentral describes it as "uncharacterized LOC111505565". Lineage: Eukaryota; Metazoa; Arthropoda; Insecta; Coleoptera; Chrysomelidae. The record is from RNAcentral.
GAACGUCGUGAGCAAUAUAAGACGGUUGCAGCCCGUGCACAAGACCGAAAACCCUGACGAACCUCCUCCAAUCACAAUACCUCUACCUAAACCGGUGAUUCCCGAUAAUGUCAUGUUCAAUGCCUUACAUGCGAACGCCCUGCACGCCAAUGCGAUGCACGCUAAUGCCCUCCAUGCGCAGUUGGCGGUUGCGCAGCUACACUUGUCUAGAGAAUAGAGUUGAAUGAUAAACUUGCCUUUGUAAAUACAACACACACUAUAAUUAUCUAGGUUCAUAAAAUGUUUUACUAUAAAUAAUAAUCAUUAAGGAAUAAUAUCUAGCGCUUUAUGCAUAUUUGUAGCUGGGUGACAUUAUUGUCGAUAGGAUAGGUUUAAGUGCAGUCUUAUUACAGUUCAGUGGACUUAUUGAAAGGUCUUGAAAUCUCACUUCAGUCUUUCAUCUAUGUAUAUUUUCAUUUUUGUAUUGUCAUAGAGGUUUUAUCUAAGUUAUUUUCAGAAUUAGUUCGAUGUUUUGAGCAGACUGUAAUUAGAAUUAUUAUAUGGAGCUCUUUCCCUUCGGGGUUCAGAAAAUCCGAAAUACUUUGAAGAAUGCACAAUUGCCUGGAAAUAUUUUCAAAGUUCGUGUAACAAACCGCAGUAAAAAUCGUUAGUUUUGUAGAAGUAAUGGUUAAUCACAGAUUGGGCGAUAUCUACAUUUGCAAUCAAUUUCAAAAUAAGCUAAAAAGCUCAGCCUAAUGAUGAAAUUGCAGCCAUUCGCCAUUGGGAUAUUUACUUUAUCGUCAACAACCCCUAAAAAGUCCCGAAAAAUUCAUUAUUAAGAAAAAGUCAGCAUCUCUUCAACAUACCAAUAAUUGUUAAGGAGUAUUUGAAACAGUUUUUUGGCAAUCUUAACUUCAGACUACAAAUAUCCCACUGGGAUUUGUAAUUGUAAAAAAUUCAGCAAGCUGCAAUUUCAUCAGUAGCAAGAGUUUAAUGGUCCUGAACUAUUGAUUUAAACAUGCAAUAUGUCAAUAACAUAAGAUUUUGCCAUUAUUUUAAAUAAUUUCAUUUCAUGAAAUUAAUCAAUUCAUCAGCAAGUGCAAUUUUUAUAAUUGCCUAUAAAACUUUUCAGACAGAUUAAUGUGGAUUCAUUUCUGUUCUACCAUUUUUAUAUUAUUUAAGUUAUAAAUUUGUAUCUCUGUUCAUUCAGCUUUUUAGUAAGAUAUAGAAGAGUCAUACCUACUUUAUUUUUAUUUUGUCUCCACUUCAAGUUACGAUCUCAUGAAAAAACAUGAGAUUUCGUGAAUAAUAUUAUCUGAAAGAAAGUGGGAACAAAAUGAAAAAUGGAGUGUGGGCCCUUCUGUUGUUUUGUACCUUUUACAUUUUGUUCGUCUAACCUUUGCAUAUCUAGUUGUAUUUGUCAUAAACUUACAUUAGCGUUUGUUUAUCAACAAAAUUAUUUCACUCUAGUAAUUUUUCAGUCAAGAAGUACAAAGUUGAAUUUGCACCAAAGUGGUAAUAUGGUACUCCCACUUUCAUGAUAUCAACUCAAUAAUAAAUGUGUUUUCCAUCUAACUAGAAUUAUUGGAAAAAUUAAAAACUACUGCACAGAAAAGUGUAUGGCUGUUUUCUCAUUGAAUAUCUUUCGAGGAAUAUAAUAUAGUUUAAAAUAUGUCACUUUCGUUGUCAAUAGUAUUUGGGAAUAUUGUAAAAUGAAAACUUUUUUAUUUUUUAUGUGAAACUAUCUGUAAGACUUUGCUGUAAAUAUAUUUUGUUAGAUAGUUGUUAGGUUAAUAUAAUCAUAUAGAAAA